AGUGAACGCUGGCGGUAGGCCUAACACAUGCAAGUCGAACGGCAGCACAGUAAGAGCUUGCUCUUACGGGUGGCGAGUGGCGGACGGGUGAGGAAUACAUCGGAAUCUACUUUUUCGUGGGGGAUAACGUAGGGAAACUUACGCUAAUACCGCAUACGACCUACGGGUGAAAGCAGGGGAUCUUCGGACCUUGCGCGAUUGAAUGAGCCGAUGUCGGAUUAGCUAGUUGGCGGGGUAAAGGCCCACCAAGGCGACGAUCCGUAGCUGGUCUGAGAGGAUGAUCAGCCACACUGGAACUGAGACACGGUCCAGACUCCUACGGGAGGCAGCAGUGGGGAAUAUUGGACAAUGGGCGCAAGCCUGAUCCAGCCAUACCGCGUGAGUGAAGAAGGCCUUCGGGUUGUAAAGCCCUUUUGUUGGGAAAGAAAAGCAGCAGGUUAAUACCCCGCUGUUCUGACGGUACCCAAAGAAUAAGCACCGGCGAACUUCGU
This 491-nucleotide ribosomal RNA is filed under the name uncultured bacterium. RNAcentral describes it as "partial 16S ribosomal RNA". It matches the Rfam family "Bacterial small subunit ribosomal RNA", at positions 29 to 506 of the family's 1533-position model. The record is from RNAcentral.